This 229-nucleotide ribosomal RNA is filed under the name uncultured bacterium. RNAcentral describes it as "partial 16S ribosomal RNA". It matches the Rfam family "Bacterial small subunit ribosomal RNA", at positions 568 to 796 of the family's 1533-position model. The record is from RNAcentral.
CGUGUAGGCGGCUUGGUAAGCGGAGUGUGAAAGCCCGGGGCUCAACCCCGGAACUGCAUUCCGAACUGCCGAGCUAGAGGACAGGAGGGGGAUCUGGAACUCUAGGUGGAGCGGUGAAAUGCGUAGAUAUCUAGAGGAACGCCGGUGGCGAAAGCGAGAUCCUGGCCUGUCCCUGACGCUGAGGCGCGAAAGCGUGGGUAGCAAACAGGAUUAGAUACCCUGGUAGUCC